Molecule: long non-coding RNA, 332 nt
Filed under: Manihot esculenta (cassava)
Lineage: Eukaryota; Viridiplantae; Streptophyta; Magnoliopsida; Malpighiales; Euphorbiaceae
Description: long non-coding RNA (MESC_LNC010275)
Source: RNAcentral
GGGCAGUUUCUGAUGGACUGGAGAGCGACAUUUAACAAGAUACCUCAAAUAAGAAAGUUACACAACUAACACUUUUCUCAAUAGUGUAAAAAAAAAUUACUUACCUUUUAUAGUUGCUGAUGAGGACCGAGGAGGCGAGGACUGAGAACUGAGAAAGACUGAGGACUGAGGAAGACAGAGGAUUGAGGACAACCAAGUUGCUGACAGCGUUGAGAGCCGAUGGACUGGAGAGCGACGGCCGAAGAUUGCGUGGAGAGCGACGACCGACGAUUGUGUGGAGACUGGAGAGAGAGAAUAGAGAGCUACAGUGAGGUGAGGAGGAGUCGGCGACU